UAACGGCUUUAAUUCGUAGCACAAUUGC
This 28-nucleotide small RNA is filed under the name Bombyx mori (domestic silkworm). RNAcentral describes it as "ovarian small RNA-18848". Lineage: Eukaryota; Metazoa; Arthropoda; Insecta; Lepidoptera; Bombycidae. The record is from RNAcentral.